Molecule: long non-coding RNA, 105 nt
Organism: Zingiber officinale
Lineage: Eukaryota; Viridiplantae; Streptophyta; Magnoliopsida; Zingiberales; Zingiberaceae
Exons: 3
Source: RefSeq, a predicted model, not a curated record
GGCAAUCAGCAAUAUGAACAUUUUAAUAAGGUUGCUGUGGUGGUCGAUGAACUGCUUCAUGAGCAAGGCGCCAAGCACAUUGUCCAAGUGGGGUUGGGAGAUGAU